UGGCCAAGCAAGUCCAUUGGGAAAUCCACGUGCUCAACGCGUGGGCGUCCGGUGGAAACUGUUUGGCUUGGGGCCAGAAGACCUGAGGGGUACGUCCGGGGUAGGAGUGAAAUCCUGUAAUCCUGGACGGACCACCAAUGGGGAAACCACCUCAGGAGGAUGGACCCGACAGUGAGGGACGAAAGCUAGGGUCUCGAACCGGAUUAGAUACCCGGGUAGUCCUAGCUGUAAACGAUGCUCGCUAGGUGUGCCGUAGGCUACGAGCCUGCGCUGCGCCCUAGGGAAGCCGAGAAGCGAGCCGCCUGGGAA
Molecule: ribosomal RNA, 309 nt
Filed under: uncultured archaeon
Lineage: Archaea
Description: bacterial SSU rRNA
Rfam family: Archaeal small subunit ribosomal RNA
Source: RNAcentral